UACGAAGGGGGCUAGCGUUGUUCGGAUUUACUGGGCGUAAAGCGCACGUAGGCGGGUCGUUAAGUCAGAGGUGAAAUCCCGGAGCUCAACUCCGGAACUGCCUUUGAUACUGGCGACCUUGAGGCUGGAAGAGGUUAGUGGAAUUCCCAGUGUAGAGGUGAAAUUCGUAGAUAUUGGGAAGAACACCAGUGGCGAAGGCGGCUAACUGGUCCAGAUCUGACGCUGAGGUGCGAAAGCGUGGGGAGCAAACAGG
Molecule: ribosomal RNA, 253 nt
Filed under: uncultured bacterium
Lineage: Bacteria
Description: partial 16S ribosomal RNA
Rfam family: Bacterial small subunit ribosomal RNA
Source: RNAcentral